Molecule: long non-coding RNA, 969 nt
Organism: Bos taurus (domestic cattle)
Lineage: Eukaryota; Metazoa; Chordata; Mammalia; Artiodactyla; Bovidae
Source: Ensembl
GUGAGGGGUGAGGGAAAGUUAAUUUCAUUCCCCUUUACUAUCUAAAUGCCUUUUGGAGAAAAAGAGGCUGCCUUAAAGAUUUAAUCCCUCUCAUGGUAGAAAGAGCUAUGCUUUUCUUAGAAACCCAGCUGUCUAGCCACUGCCACUGUUACUUUCCUUGGGAGGAAUUUUAAGCCUUCAGGACAAUUAAAGCUGUCUUUAUCUUGUUUGUUGAGCAUCCUCAGUCAGUUGAGUUCAGUUCCUCAGUCGUGUCCGACUCUCUGCGACCCCAAGGACUGCAGCACGCCAGGCCUCCCUGUACCUCACCAACUCCCGCAGUUUACUCAAACUGAUGUUCAUUGAGAUCCUAUCCAGCAUUCCACCUUGCAUUUAGUCAGCUUGUCUUAGACUCCUCUGCACUGUGACACCUUCUCAGUGUUCUUUAUUUUGAUGACCUCGAUGACCUCGACAUCUUUGAAAAGUACUGGUCAGUAACGGCGUUAUAGUCAGUUACCUGAUGAAUAGACGUGAUGUUUGCCACUUCUGGAUGAAGCCUUUCGAAGAAUAAGAAUUCUUCCUCCAUUCUCUGUUCGACUGGCUGGAUGCAGAUGAUAAGAAGGCCACAGAGAAGCCACAGGAUGGAAGGAACUUUGGUUCCUGAAUCAGUGCAUGUAGAAAAGCUGCCUGCUGACCUGAACAGCUGUUCUGAACUGUUAUAUAAACAAGAAAUAAACUUCUGUUGUAUUUAAGCCACUACAUAUUUGCAUCUGUUUGAUUCAGCAGUUUAUUUAGCCUACCCAAAGUAAUACAGAUGCCAUUAGAAUUUUAAUCUCAAAUACUUAAAUUAUUUAUUAUAUGUUUACAACCCUUAUGUGGUAAGCAGGGCAGGCACCUAUUUUAUAGGCAAAACAGUGAGGAAUAUGGAGAUUCAUAAAUUCUUUCAACAAAUACUUAUUGACCAUUAGGGAAAUUUGUUGCAAACAAUUUAUU